AAGAGCAUAAUAUUUACCUCAAACAGAACAUUGCAACCUGGUGCAGCAGCAGAAAAAUCCGAAAAGGGCCCAGAGAAAUAUGGAAGUGUGAAUCACCAUCUCCUCUGAUCACCAGGACAUGCUCUGCUCUUGACUGUGCACUGGAGACUGGAGUAGCUUGGCGAUGCAAGCCUGUCCCAGUCUCCCAUAGUGUUCAGCGACGGCAUGGCAAAUUGGCAAUGCAUGAUCCUUGUCAGUUCGAAAUUCCAAUUAGAAGGAACGAUGCAAGAGAGGCAGCGGCCUCAAAU
Molecule: long non-coding RNA, 287 nt
Filed under: Setaria italica (foxtail millet)
Lineage: Eukaryota; Viridiplantae; Streptophyta; Magnoliopsida; Poales; Poaceae
Description: long non-coding RNA (SITA_LNC006175)
Source: RNAcentral